Non-coding RNA from Schizosaccharomyces pombe (fission yeast), 213 nucleotides. Lineage: Eukaryota; Fungi; Ascomycota; Schizosaccharomycetes; Schizosaccharomycetales; Schizosaccharomycetaceae. The record is from the annotation of a GenBank genome assembly.
UAUUUGCCAUUUGUCAACAAUAACCAAAAUACUGUCACACAAAACCCUUUGCUUUGAUAACUGAACAGCGGAACCUAAUAAUAUAUCUCUGUAUGUUCAUCAGGAUGCUACCUUAAAAAAUCUCUAAACGUUCGAAGUGAGUCCAAAACGAAACAUUAAUUCUAAUAUCAUUAGUAAUCGUUUUGUGGAAAGAAUUAGUAUUACUUGUCCUAA